UACGUAGGGGGCUAGCGUUGUCCGGAAUCAUUGGGCGUAAAGCGCGCGUAGGCGGCCCGGUAAGUCCGCUGUGAAAGUCAAAGGCUCAACCUUUGAAUGUCAGCGGAUACUGCCGGGCUAGAGUCCGGAAGAGGCGAGUGGAACUCCUGGUGUAGCGGUGAAAUGCGUAGAUAUCUGGAGGAAUACCGGUGGCGAAGGCGGCAUCCUGGACCGAGAUUGACACUGAUGAGCGAAAGCUAGGGGAGCAAACGGG
This 253-nucleotide ribosomal RNA is filed under the name uncultured bacterium. Its description in RNAcentral is "partial 16S ribosomal RNA". It matches the Rfam family "Bacterial small subunit ribosomal RNA", at positions 524 to 776 of the family's 1533-position model. The record is from RNAcentral.